GGUUCAGAGAAAAAGUACAUUCACAAUCCACAGAGCAGUUUGUGACCAGAUCUCUUCCUCUUACUUUUCUCUCAUCUCCUCUCUCAAAAAUAAACCAAAUAAAUAGAUCUGAAUUCUUAAUCCAUCUCAUGUUUGAUCUAUGUUAUAUUAAUUCAAAAAGAAUACAAGGUUGAGUUUAUAGAACAAUUAGUAUAUUUGAAAGAGUUCCAACAUAUUAGAUUUGCAUCAAAUGUCUUCCACCAAGGAAGAUUCUCUGGGAGAGUCGCUUGAAAUCUACGGGCUGCAGCAUAUACAACUCCACAGACCACAAUCUCACUCUUGAAUCUUACACAGAGUGUUGUGCGCAAACUGUAAUUUGCAAGAUUCGAGUGUAUUUGAGUGUAUUCUCUCCUAAUAAAGCUAUCAAUUCUCUCUAUAUAUGUGUUGUUCUGGCAAAAUACAUUUCAACAGACGCAAUGACAUUCUAUUGUAAUGAAAUUCGUCUGAGUAGAUACGAUAACAUAAUAUGAAAUUCUAUAAAAUUAAUAAGCAAAAGAGUUUUGCACUUUA
Long non-coding RNA from Solanum pennellii, 549 nucleotides. RefSeq lists it as uncharacterized. Lineage: Eukaryota; Viridiplantae; Streptophyta; Magnoliopsida; Solanales; Solanaceae. The transcript is spliced from 2 exons. The record is from RefSeq and is a predicted model, not a curated record.